GGCGUGGUGGCGGGUGCCUCUAAUCCCAGCUACUCAGAGGCUGAGGCAGAAACCUGAACAAACAUCUUUCAUUAAAGGAUAUUCUUAGGCAUAUAAGAGGCCAUGUGAGCCCACAGCGAGAAGGCUGCCAUCUGCUGGCCAAGAGAAUUGGUCUCGGAAUGAAACCACCUUGUGGCCACCUUGAUCUUGGACUUCCAGCUUACAGAACUGUGAGAAAUACAUUUUUGUUGUUUAAGUCACCCUGUCUAUGAUAUUUUGUAUGGCAGCCUGAGCUAUGAUAUAUGGAAUGCCUAUUUAUUAUUUUUUAAUAUCUAUUUCAAUCUUAUCAGGUAGCUACUUCAUUAGCCCAACGUUGCACAUUGAGGUUUACGGAACUAACUUGUCCAAUGUCACACAGCUGAUCACUGGAAGAACCAGGAAUUAAAGUCUUCUGAUUCUAAAUUCUAAAUUCGUUUCUUUUCUUUU
Homo sapiens (human) is the source of this 465-nucleotide long non-coding RNA. RefSeq lists it as uncharacterized. Lineage: Eukaryota; Metazoa; Chordata; Mammalia; Primates; Hominidae. The record is from RefSeq and is a predicted model, not a curated record. The transcript is spliced from 2 exons.